AGUGAACGCUGGCGGUAGGCCUAACACAUGCAAGUCGAACGGCAGCACAGUAAGAGCUUGCUCUUACGGGUGGCGAGUGGCGGACGGGUGAGGAAUACAUCGGAAUCUACUUUUUCGUGGGGGAUAACGUAGGGAAACUUACGCUAAUACCGCAUACGACCUACGGGUGAAAGCAGGGGAUCUUCGGACCUUGCGCGAUUGAAUGAGCCGAUGUCGGAUUAGCUAGUUGGCGGGGUAAAGGCCCACCAAGGCGACGAUCCGUAGCUGGUCUGAGAGGAUGAUCAGCCACACUGGAACUGAGACACGGUCCAGACUCCUACGGGAGGCAGCAGUGGGGAAUAUGGGACAAUGGGCGCAAGCCUGAUCCAGCCAUACCGCGUGGGUGAAGAAGGCCUGCGGGUUGUAAAGCCCUUUUGUUGGGAAAGAAAAGCAGCAGGUUAAUACCCCGCUGUUCUGACGGUACCCAAAGAAUAAGCACCGGCUAACUUCGU
RNAcentral lists this ribosomal RNA (491 nucleotides) under uncultured bacterium. Its description in RNAcentral is "partial 16S ribosomal RNA". It matches the Rfam family "Bacterial small subunit ribosomal RNA", at positions 29 to 506 of the family's 1533-position model. The record is from RNAcentral.